Molecule: ribosomal RNA, 253 nt
Filed under: uncultured bacterium
Lineage: Bacteria
Description: partial 16S ribosomal RNA
Rfam family: Bacterial small subunit ribosomal RNA
Source: RNAcentral
UACGUAGGGGGCUAGCGUUGUCCGGAUUUAUUGGGCGUAAAGAGCGUGUAGGCGGCCAGGUAGGUCUGCUGUGAAAACUCGAGGCUCAACCUCGAGACGUCGGCGGAAACCAUCUGGCUAGAGUCCGGAAGAGGAGAAUGGAAUUCCUGGUGUAGCGGUGAAAUGCGUAGAUAUCAGGAGGAAUCCCGGUGGUGUAGACGGCUCUCUGGACCGCCACUGACGCUGAGACACGAAAGCGUGGGUAGCAAACAGG